GAUGAACGCUAGCGGCAGGCCUAACACAUGCAAGUCAGGGGUAACAUGGAAAGCUUGCUUUUCUGAUGACGACCGGCGCACGGGUGCGUAACGCGUAUACAACCUACCUUUUAGCGGGGAAUAGCCCAGGGAAACUUGGAUUAAUGCCCCAUAGUAUAUAGACUUCUCCUGAAGUUUAUAUUAAACAUUUAUGGCCAUUGGAUGGGUAUGCGUCCUAUUAGCUAGUUGGUGUGGUAACGGCACACCAAGGCUACGAUAGGUAGGGGUCCUGAGAGGGAGAUCCCCACACUGGUACUGAGACACGGACCAGACUCCUACGGGAGGCAGCAGUGAGGAAUAUUGGACAAUGGGCGAGAGCCUGAUCCAGCCAUGCCGCGUGCAGGAAGACUGCCCUAUGGGUUGUAAACUGCUUUUACAGAGGAAGAACCACCCUCACGUGUGGGGGUUUGACGGUACUCUGCGAAUAAGGAUCGGCUAACUCCGUG
This 485-nucleotide ribosomal RNA is filed under the name uncultured bacterium. RNAcentral describes it as "bacterial SSU rRNA". It matches the Rfam family "Bacterial small subunit ribosomal RNA", at positions 28 to 507 of the family's 1533-position model. The record is from RNAcentral.